UGCUUAACACAUGCAAGUCUACUUGAUCCUUCGCCUUAAGGUGGCGGACGGGUGAGUAACGCGUAAAGAACUUGCCUUACAGACUGGGACAACAUUUGGAAACGAAUGCUAAUACCGGAUAUUAUGAUUGGGUCGCAUGACCUGGUUAUGAAAGCUAUAUGCGCUGUGAGAGAGCUUUGCGUCCCAUUAGUUAGUUGGUGAGGUAACGGCUCACCAAGACGAUGAUGGGUAGCCGGCCUGAGAGGGUGAACGGCCACAAGGGGACUGAGACACGGCCCUUACUCCUACGGGAGGCAGCAGUGGGGAAUAUUGGACAAUGGACCAAAAGUCUGAUCCAGCAAUUCUGUGUGCACGAUGAAGUUUUUCGGAAUGUAAAGUGCUUUCAGUUGGGAAGAAGUCAGUGACGGUACCAACAGAAGAAGCGACGGCUAAAUACGUGCCAGCAGCCGCGGUAAUACGUAUGUCGCAAGCGUUAUCCGGAUUUAUUGGGCGUAAAGCGCGUCUAGGCGGCUUAGUAAGUCUGAUGUGAAAAUGCGGGGCUCAACCCCGUAUUGCGUUGGAAACUGCUAAACUAGAGUACUGGAGAGGUAGGCGGAACUACAAGUGUAGAGAUGAAAUUCGUAGAUAUUUGUAGGAAUGCCGAUGGGGAAGCCAGCCUACUGGACAGAUACUGACGCUAAAGCGCGAAAGCGUGGGUAGCAAACAGGAUUAGAUACCCUGGUAGUCCACGCCGUAAACGAUGAUUACUAGGUGUUGGGGGUCGAACCUCAGCGCCCCAGCUAACGCGAUAAGUAAUCCGCCUGGGGGAGUACGUACACAAGUAUGAUACUCAAAGGAAUUGACGGGGACCCGCACAAGCGGUGGAGCAUGUGGUUCAAUUGGACGUAACGCGAGGAACCUUGCCAGCGUUUGACAUCCCAAGAAGUUAACAGAGAUGUUUUCGUGCCUCUUGGGAGGAACUUGGUGACAGGUGGUGCAUGGCUGUGGUCAGCUUGUGUCGUGAGAUGUUGGGUUAAGUCGCGCAACGAGCGCAACCCCUUUCGUAUGUUACCAUCAUUAAGUUGGGGACUCGUGCGAGACUGCUUGCGAUGAGCAGGAGGAAGGUGGGGAUGACGUCAAGUCAUCAUGCCCUUUAUACGCUGGGCUACACACGUGCUACAAUGGGUAGUACAGAGAGCUGCAAACCUGCGAGGGUAAGCUAAUCUCAUAAAACUAUUCUUAGUUCGGAUUGUACUCUGCAACUCGAGUACAUGAAGUUGGAAUCGCUAGUAAUCGCAAAUCAGCUAUGUUGCGGUGAAUACGUUCUCGGGUCUUGUACACACCGCCCGUCACACCACGAGAGUUGGUUGCACCUGAAGUAACAGGCCUAACCGUAAGGAGGGAUGUUCCGAGGGUGUGAUUAGCGAUUGGG
RNAcentral lists this ribosomal RNA (1411 nucleotides) under uncultured organism. Its description in RNAcentral is "SSU rRNA". It matches the Rfam family "Bacterial small subunit ribosomal RNA". The record is from RNAcentral.